GGAUAACAGUUAGAAAUGACUGCUAAUACCGCAUAAGCGCACUAAACCGCAUGGUUCGGUGUGAAAAACUGAGGUGGUAUAGGAUGGACCCGCGUCUGAUUAGCUUGUUGGUGGGGUAACGGCUCACCAAGGCGACGAUCAGUAGCCGGCCUGAGAGGGCGACCGGCCACAUUGGGACUGAGACACGGCCCAAACUCCUACGGGAGGCAGCAGUGGGGAAUAUUGCACAAUGGGGGAAACCCUGAUGCAGCGACGCCGCGUGAGUGAAGAAGUAUUUCGGUAUGUAAAGCUCUAUCAGCAGGGAAGAAAAUGACGGUACCUGACUAAGAAGCCCCGGCUAACUACGUGCCAGCAGCCGCGGUAAUACGUAGGGGGCAAGCGUUAUCCGGAUUUACUGGGUGUAAAGGGAGCGUAGGUGGCAUGGUAAGCCAGAAGUGAAAACCCGGGGCUCAACCCCGCGGAUUGCUUUUGGAACUAUCAGGCUGGAGUGCUGGAGGGGUAAGCGGAAUUCCUAGUGUAGCGGUGAAAUGCGUAGAUAUUAGGAGGAACACCGGUGGCGAAGGCGGCUUACUGGACAGAGACUGACACUGAGGCUCGAAAGCGUGGGGAGCAAACAGGAUUAGAUACCCUGGUAGUCCACGCCGUAAACG
RNAcentral lists this ribosomal RNA (650 nucleotides) under uncultured bacterium. RNAcentral's name for it is "bacterial SSU rRNA". It matches the Rfam family "Bacterial small subunit ribosomal RNA", at positions 141 to 808 of the family's 1533-position model. The record is from RNAcentral.